AGAAAAUCUGCUCUUAACAAGAACACGAUGAAGCAUUGUUAAGAGC
This is a non-coding RNA of Enterococcus sp. HSIEG1, 46 nucleotides long. The record is from Rfam. NCBI's taxonomy places the organism in Bacteria, Bacillati, Bacillota, Bacilli, Lactobacillales, Enterococcaceae.